UACGUAGGGGGCGAGCGUUAAUCGGAAUUACUGGGCGUAAAGCGUGCGCAGGCGGUUCGUUAAGUUCGAUGUGAAAGCCCCGGGCUUAACCUGGGAAUGGCAUUGGAAACUGGCGAGCUUGAGUGCGGCAGAGGGGGGUGGAAUUCCGCGUGUAGCAGUGAAAUGCGUAGAGAUGCGGAGGAACACCGAUGGCGAAGGCAGCCCCCUGGGUCGACACUGGCGCUCAGGCACGAAAGCGUGGGGAGCAAACAGG
RNAcentral lists this ribosomal RNA (253 nucleotides) under uncultured bacterium. RNAcentral describes it as "partial 16S ribosomal RNA". It matches the Rfam family "Bacterial small subunit ribosomal RNA", at positions 524 to 776 of the family's 1533-position model. The record is from RNAcentral.